UACAUUGUCUUUUUAUCUCAUCACAUUGAAGCUACGAAACACUGCUUACAUUUACAUUUUAUAUAUUGUAAUAUCAUUACUCGAUUGCACCCCCCAUGCCACCCCAGUAGAUCCACUCCUGAAAACACACUAAUGCAUAAAUACAGUUUAAGUGUCAAAACGUCUCUCAAACACUAAUUUUCUCUCCCUCAGACGGAUCAUCCUCAUCGUGCUGAUGUAUAUGACCUGUUCCCAGGAACAUUUCAGACCAUAGAGAUGACUGUAGGAAGUCCUGGACAGUGGCUGCUUCACUGCCAUGUGACCGAUCACAUCCAUGCGGGCAUGGAGACGCUUUUCACUGUUCAUCCGAGAGGGUCAUCAGGUUCAUCAAGGAGUGAUGAGGAAUAUCCAGACAGUGCCUUCGGUCAUUUUGGAAACCUGUCUACUCUGAUGUUGUGUCUCCUUGGAUUGGUCCUGUCACAAUUUGUAGCACACUGAAAAAAGAUCCAAGUGACCAUGAGCCCGAUAGAACUGAUAUUUAUUGCUGUGACACUGAUGCUCACUACUUGGUUACCUCAUCUAGUAUUCUCACUGUAUAGCUGUUAGGGAAACUGUUCAGCUGUUGAGGGAAACAGCUAUUACAUAAGAUAUAAAGAUUAGUCAUUCAAUUUUGAUUUAACAUGCAAGGAAUGAUUCAUAUAAUUGCUUCAGUUAAUAGAAUCAAAGCUUAAAGAAGAAUGCACUUUACUCCCCUGCACUGCAUGUUUAUUAGGGCUCUCUGAUUGGAAGUGAGCAUCCCGAUGUGCUAGAGCAGAGCCCUUGAAAUGGGGACUUUGGAGGGAGCGGGGCUCUUGCACUGAAGGGAGCAAUGAAAGACAACAUAUUUUCUUCAUUAUCUUCACCUAGAAUGUUAGCAUGACUACAGUAUCCAUAAGCACAAUGCAUCAGCUGUACUUGCAGUAGAAUUAUACUAUGUCAGAUGCUUUCGAUUCCCAUGAAUGCACUAAUGGUGGCCACAACUGCCUCUGCUAUCUUAGUAGUGACCGAGUAAGAGUAAGUUGAGUGAUGAGUGUGUGUUACUUUCUUACUCCAUAAUUUGUUUUGUAUGGAUGGUUGCACAGAUGUCCUGGUUUUCAAUUGUUGUUUUUUAUGUGAUUUAAGAUUGCUGUGACAUUUCUAUUUCUGAUUUGGAAUAUUUAUAAUCUUAGUUGUUCACUGUUUUUCUGAUGAACGGCGGUUCAUGUUCUGGAACUGAAUUGCAAAGUUAAGAACAAAAAUGAAUAAAAUGAGCUUAACUGUGAAAGAUAACAAAA
Molecule: long non-coding RNA, 1292 nt
Organism: Sinocyclocheilus grahami
Lineage: Eukaryota; Metazoa; Chordata; Actinopteri; Cypriniformes; Cyprinidae
Exons: 3
Source: RefSeq, a predicted model, not a curated record